Molecule: ribosomal RNA, 387 nt
Filed under: Acrochaete sp.
Lineage: Eukaryota; Viridiplantae; Chlorophyta; Ulvophyceae; Ulvales; Ulvellaceae
Description: partial small subunit ribosomal RNA
Rfam family: Eukaryotic small subunit ribosomal RNA
Source: RNAcentral
AUUCCAGCUCCAAUAGCGUAUAUUUAAGUUGUUGCAGUUAAAAAGCUCGUAGUUGGAUUUCGGGUUGGCUUCAGCGGUCUCGCUUUGCGUUUGUACUGCUGCAGCCUACCUUCUUGUCGGGGACGGGCCUACGGGCUUAAUUGCUUGGGGCCCGGAGUCGACGAUGUUACUUUGAGUAAAUUAGAGUGUUCAAAGCAAGCCUACGCUCUGAAUAUAAUAGCAUGGGAUAACACGACAGGACUCUGGCCUAUCGUGUUGGUCUGUAGGACCGGAGUAAUGAUUAAGAGGGACAGUCGGGGGCAUUCGUAUUCCAUUGUCAGAGGUGAAAUUCUUGGAUUUAUGGAAGACGAACAUCUGCGAAAGCAUCUGUCAAGGAUGUUUUCAUUG